CUACGGGACGCUGCAGUGGGGAAUAUUGGACAAUGGACCAAAAGUCUGAUCCAGCAAUUCUGUGUGCACGAUGAAGGUCUUCGGAUUGUAAAGUGCUUUCAGUAGGGAAGAAGAAUGUGACGGUACCUACAGAAGAAGCGACGGCUAAAUACGUGCCAGCAGCCGCGGUAAUACGUAUGCCGCAAGCGUUAUCCGGAAUUAUUGGGCAUAAAGGGCGUCUAGGUGGUUUACUAAGUCUGAUGUGAAAAUGCGGGGCUCAACUCCGUAUUGCGUUGGAAACUGGUUUACUAGAGUCUUGGAGAGGUGGGCGGAACUACAAGUGUAGAGGUGAAAUUCGUAGAUAUUUGUAGGAAUGCCGAUGACGAAGGUAGCUCACUGGACAAGUACUGACACUAAAGCGCGAAAGCUAGGGGAGCAAACAGGAUUAGAUACCCGUGUAGUC
Molecule: ribosomal RNA, 442 nt
Filed under: uncultured bacterium
Lineage: Bacteria
Description: partial 16S ribosomal RNA
Rfam family: Bacterial small subunit ribosomal RNA
Source: RNAcentral